RNAcentral lists this transfer RNA (71 nucleotides) under Caudoviricetes sp. Its description in RNAcentral is "tRNA-Gln". It matches the Rfam family "tRNA". From Rfam's summary of the family: Transfer RNA (tRNA) molecules are approximately 80 nucleotides in length. Lineage: Duplodnaviria; Heunggongvirae; Uroviricota; Caudoviricetes. The record is from RNAcentral.
UGUCCUAUAGUAUAAUGGUAAUACAUCUGGUUUUGGUCCAGAGAAUUGAGGUUCAAAUCCUCGUAGGACAA